AUUGGCCCGCGUCCGAUUAGCUAGUUGGUGAGGUAAUGGCCCACCAAGGCGACGAUCGGUAGCUGGUCUGAGAGGAUGAUCAGCCACAUUGGGACUGAGACACGGCCCAAACUCCUACGGGAGGCAGCAGUGGGGAAUAUUGGACAAUGGGCGCAAGCCUGAUCCAGCCAUGCCGCGUGAGUGAUGACGGCCUUAGGGUUGUAAAGCUCUUUCGUCAGGGACGAUAAUGACGGUACCUGAAGAAGAAGCCCCGGCUAACUUCGUGCCAGCAGCCGCGGUAAUACGAAGGGGGCUAGCGUUGUUCGGAAUUACUGGGCGUAAAGCGCGUGUAGGCGGGUCUUUAAGUCAGGGGUGAAAUGCCAGGGCUCAACCUUGGAACUGCCUUUGAUACUGGAGAUCUUGAGUCCGGGAGAGGUGAGUGGAACUGCGAGUGUAGAGGUGAAAUUCGUAGAUAUUCGCAAGAACACCAGUGGCGAAGGCGGCUCACUGGCCCGGUACUGACGCUGAGAUGCGAAAGCGUGGGGAGCAAACAGGAUUAGAUACCCUGGUAGUCCACGCUGUAAACGAUGGAUGCUAGCCGUUAGGCAGCUUGCUGCUUAGUGGCGCAGUUAACACUUUAAGCAUCCCGCCUGGGGAGUACGGUCGCAAGAUUAAAACUCAAAGGAAUGAC
RNAcentral lists this ribosomal RNA (670 nucleotides) under uncultured bacterium. RNAcentral describes it as "bacterial SSU rRNA". It matches the Rfam family "Bacterial small subunit ribosomal RNA", at positions 225 to 914 of the family's 1533-position model. The record is from RNAcentral.